AAAAACAACAACGUAAUGUCUUCCUAUCGCAGUUAUACACCCUGGAAGUCCAGCCUGGGCAGCUCUUACAAAACAGGCAGCUCUUCGUAUGGAGCUGGAGGCGACUCCACAUCGCGUUACAGUUCCCUGGCCACGCCCAGCGCCUACAGACCAUCAUUCUCGGGCGGGACAUACCGCCUCAAGCGAGAUCCACCCACAUCGGCAGCCCCACCGCCCGUCACCAGCUACGUGAGUCGCUAUGCCAAGACAGAGCCCAAGGAGACGGCCGCCAGCGAGCGGACCAGUCCCAUCAAGCGGUACACGGGGGGAGCUGGGACGAGCAGCAGCACGCUGGGAAAGUACGGCAGAUCCAGGGAUCCCAGUCCCGUGGCCCUGGAGCACACGAAUCGAGGUAAAUCGAGGGAUCCGAGUCCAGUCAUCGACAGCGGGAGGAGCAAACUGGGGGCCACAUAUCGCAGUGGAAACACCUCGACCUCCUCCUCGUCGUCGGGUGCGAGGAAUGGGUACGGCAGUCGCUUUGGCCCCGCCGCUUCAAGGAUCAGCAAUGGCAGCAGCAAUGGAAGUGCCAUCUCCUACUUGACCACCAGCGACUUUCAUGCGAGAACGGCCAGUCGAGCCAGGGCCAGCAGGGAGAAGGAGCAGGAGGUCACCGCAAGUCCCCCAGAGAAGGCCAGGGAGGAAGAGCCAAAGGGCAAACAGCAGGCCAGCCCCGAGAAGGAGCAGGAACAGAAGAAGGUUGCACAGGACCUGCAGCCCGAGGAAACCUUCGUCUCCGUGUCGGUGGUUACGCGUGCCACUUCGCCCACACCACCGGGGAGUACCACCGUCCAGCGUACGCGCCGCAUCGACAUUGCCAAGACCAUCGAGAAGACCAUCCAGCGAUCGACGAAGCCCCGCCAGAUGCUGGAGAAGGAGAUCCAAUCGGACAGGAUGGACGAUUCCACGCGAUAUCUGCGGUACAGCGGUGGCAGCAGCAGCCUCAGCUCCACCUACAGCCCGCACAGGGAUCGGAUCAGCAGCCUCCGUUACAGUGCCAGUCCGCUGUCCAACAAGUCCGUGUCCCCCUCCGUGGAGGGGAAGUCACAGUCACCAGCGGAGGUCCCCAGUCCACCGUCCAAGAGUAAUGGCUCCUUGAGUAAUGGGAGCUCCGCCAAGUCGUCCUCCGCCUCCGCCAGCAAAUCGAAGCUCUCUCCGCCCAAGGCCAUACGUCUGAAUGCCUCACGUCAGUCCUCCGUGGAGAAUUUGGCCAAUAAGCCACCAGCAGCACCCACCAAAAGCGAAUCACCCACCAAGACCUGCUCCAGCUCCAGUUCGGGCAGCUCUGCCGUCAAAUGGCCCAACAAGGACUUCCGCAAGAGCUCCCUGAAUGUGGGACCCACGGACAGGCCGCGCAAAUCGCGCACUCCCAGUGGCGGGGAGUCCGAGGACGUGGUGACCAAUGGAGGGUCUGCCCAACUAGAACGCUCGCCCAGUGCGGGCUCUGAGGGGAGUCUGGCUUCGGCUGGCUCCUCCGGAAAGAAGAGCUCCAAGCUGAGCAAUGGCAAAACGUCCUCCUCAACGGGUAGUCGUCAGAGCACAUCGACGUCCUCCGCGGCCGCCUCCUCCACCUCCGCCUCGGACAGCGAGCAGCGGGUGAAGACCGUUAAAAAACAGAGCAAAAAGAAGACGCCCAAAGAAGGCAAGGUCGUUGCCGGCAAUGCCGGCCAAUCGUUGCCCAACCAAAAUAGCCGCAAAUCGAAUACGCCAGCACCUGAGUCACCUUCACUAGAGGGCCACGAUCCCCAACCGAAUGAGAGUCCGGUGGCGGCACCACCACCGCACCGAUCGCCACAAACGCGUCGUCUGCAGAAGCUCUCGUCGGUGUCGAAUUUUUUCGCAAAUCGUCAGCAAGACGCAAAUAGUGAACCGAUCUUCCUCGAAAGCUCGGAGAGCUCUGGGGAACCGGAGGCCCCACCAUCGAUCAGUCUGGCCACAGAUCUUAACACGAACGAACCGCGAACGAAAUCGACAAAAACGACGCCCACGAGCGAAGCGAAUACCUCAACGAGAUCCCCACUGACGACCCCCAGUUCGAGUACGCGCUGUCCCGCCACCACAAGGAUCACCACUGCCACCACCCCAACGACGAUCAGCAGCAGCAGCACCACCACCACCACGCAGGACACCAGCCUGAGCACCACCUCCGAGCAGGACCCCAGCCAAGAGGAGCCCAGCUGGUGGCAGGACACCAGUCUCCAGAUAAACACAGCCUCCGCUUUGGAUCAGAACAAUCAGAACGGGGAAAUGCCUCCCUAUAGGCUACGGCACAUUGAUUCCGGUGAGGAGCAGGCCUGGUGGCUGCGCCGUAGUGAGGCGGAUGAUGAGGGUGAUGAUGAUACGCUGGCAGAGGAGACUCUGAACCCGCUGGACGAUGAUCCCAGUCACUGGAGUAGCCAGGAUCACGACUUGGAGACGAUAUCCAAGGUCAAGCAGAUGCCAAGGAGCCGCAUCUCACCGGAGCAGGAUGCCUGGUGGCUGGAGGAGGAACAGGAACAGCAGCCCCAGUCUCAGGCAAAGAUGGAGUCGCAGUCACCUCAGACCCGUUCCCUGCCACAGUCACCGCCGCAGUCCCGAUCUCUGCCCCAAUCCCCCCUGCAACUGCAGUCCCCUCUCCAUUCAAAUGGCUACCACGAGGACGAGAACAACAACAACAACAACAAUGAGACGCAUGUGGAGGUGACCUUGAAACUACCGAGUGGUUCCAAAAGCUCCAACUCGAAAAGCCACAGCGACGAGGGACCCAAGCACUGGUGGAUGUCCGGACCCACCAAAAAGCUGUUCAAUGUCCAACGCGUGGAGUCCGGAGAGCGGGCCUGGUGGCAGGACAGUGAAAAGGAAAAAGAGAAGGAGAAAGAGAUGGAACCACCGCCAGUGAAGCCACCCACACCCCCGCCUUGCAUCAUCAAGCACUGGGAGUCGGGAGAGCGGGCCUGGUGGCUGCAGGACGAGCCAGAAGCAGCGCAGUCGGCAGCAGUUGCAGUUGCUGCCGCUGCCAACGCCAGCAGCGACGAGGAGGAGGAAGAGGAGCAGCAGGCCAGAGAUGAGACAGAUCAAAGGCGCAGGAAUCCGCAGCAGCAGCACCAACUGGACACGCCACACGAGCUGAGCAGCUCCUUCCACUUUUCCUACACCGAACGCCCGCCGCCACUGGGGCAGUGCGCCAGUCCCGUGCCGACAGAGCAGCGACCGCGCUGUCCCUCGCCCUACGACAACAUUCCAAUGGGAAGAGCCCACAUGCCGGCAGCGCAGUCAGCGCCACCGACAUCGCUGCAGCCACGCUUCUCCCCACAGGUGAGGCGGCCCGGCGAGAAGCUUUUCAUCUCGCGGCAUCAGAAUAUCGACGAGCUUUUGGGUGGCGCUUGCCGGCCGCUCAGUCCGCUCUUCUACAACAACAGCAGCAGCGAUGCGACGCCGGAAAGCGGCACGAAUAUGUUCCUGCUGGAGGAGAGCUCCUCCCUGGCCAGCAAGAAUAUGUUCCUCCUGGAGGAGAUCACGCCGGAUCAGGUGCGCAUCCACGAUAGCACCGCUCAGCGGCCGGUCAUCCAGCGCAUGCAAAGAGACGUGGAGUGGUUGGAGAAUGGCAGCAACUUUUACGAGCCACCAAAGCAGCACCAUCAGCAGCAGCAGCAGCGGAGGAUCGAUGAUGCAGCCAUUCAGGUGUACAAGGAUGGGGACUAUGGUGCCUAUUUGGACCUGGAAUCAUCGCUGGCCGAACAGACCGAAGAGAUCGAGGGCCUGAAUGCCAGCCGCAAAAACUCUCUGGUGGUACGCACACAACUGAAUGUGCGCGUGCAUUCGAUUAUUGAAAAACUACUUUCAUCGGAGGGCAGCGACCUGCGACGUGCGUUAUUCUCAUUGAAGCAGGUGUUCCAGGAGGAUAAGGAUCUGGUGCAUGCCUUUGUGGCCCUCGGCGGUCUCAAUUGUCUGGUGCGCGUGGGCAAUUGCGCAGAUCAAAACUAUCAGAAUUAUAUACUGCGUGCCCUGGGACAGGUCAUGCUCUAUGUGGAUGGAAUGAACGGCGUGAUGAAGCAUGAGCCGACAAUGCAAUGGCUGUACUCAUUGAUUGCCUCCAAUUACCGAUCCGUGGUGAAGACGGCCCUCAAGCUGUUGCUGGUGUUUGUGGAAUAUGCCGAGUCCAAUUGCUAUGUGCUGGUCAGUGCCAUACACGCGGUGGAUGCCACACAGGGCACGUUGCCAUGGUCGAAUAUAAUGAGACUGCUCAAGGACUAUGACAAUGCAGAUGCCGAACUGGUGAUCUAUGCCACAUCGUUGAUCAACAAAACCCUCGCUGGACUGAACGAUCAGGACACGUUCUACGACGAAAGCGAUCUACUGGAGCAGCAGGGCAUGGAGACGGUCAUCCAGCGUUAUAUGUCCAAGCCGGGCACCGAUCUGGAUCUGCUCGAUCAGCUGCAACUCUACGAGGCUGUACUCAAAUUCGAAGAUGGCGAAUCUGAUGGCCAGCGGCUGCCCCAAAACUCUAUGCGCAAGACUCAGCGCUAUCGUCCGGGCUCGAACACCACAGAGCGACGCAAAUCGCGACGCCACAGCACCGACAACAGUCCUGCGCCCAUCACCAAGGUCCUGGCCACAACCCUACUGCGUAUGACGCCCACACAGGGAACCCUGGACGAGGAUAGCUCGGGUUCCACCAACUCCACGGAGUUCAGUGGCGGCCUGUUCAACGAGAAGAAGCCACGCGAUGGUGCGGGAGUCACGCCGGGCCUUAGGCGUCGUCGGGAGCGCGCAGAGCGGCACAAGAGCUUCCUCAAGGAGCAACAGGAGGCAGCGGCCAAUGGGAUAUUUGCCGCCCUAGAGCAGCGCGAGGGUUUGGGCCAAAUCGUAACAGCCAUUCCUGCCACCAUACAAAGCGGCGACAGUCCGCCGCAGUCAUUGCAGCACGAGCUGCCGCUGCAGCCGUGCAACAAUAAUAUUAGCAGCAACAGCAACAAUGACACGCCCAAUAACAGCCUGCUGCUGAGUCCCAGCAAGCAGCUGCUAAGCGGCAGCCACAGCAUCUCGAUCAUCAACAACAGCUUCGACAAGGCCAACAACAACAAUAACACCAACAAUCAGAACGAGUUCCUUACGAAAAAGAAUCUCUUCCGCGAACGGAACGCCACUGUGAUCAAUGGGAUCAUGAAGAACAUCCAGCAGACGGCGGACAGUGGCUACAAGAAGUACGAGAAUGAUGCGAAUCGCCUGAAUAACUACUACACGCAGAUGAGUCAAUCGCCCAAGCAUCAGCUGCAGCAGCAGGAUCCCGAUGGAGUCCUGCUCAGUCCUAAGAAGUCGCUGAAUGCGUCAGGAUUUGAUUUCACGCCCGUUCCGCUCAGCUCCACGCCGGUUAAGGGAGAUAUCCCACCAGAAGCAGAGCCACUGAGUCCCAUACAGAAACCCAUGGCAUUGGCAUCACCACCACCGCCACCGCCGCCGCCACCACCACCGCCACCCACCUGGUGGCAUGCCCCCAUUGGCAGCGUUGCGACCAGAACCCUAACCAGUACUAACCCCGCUGUGGAUACCCCAACAGAUCUGGACAGCGAGGGGAAGCAGCAACAGCAGCUGCUGCAGCUGCAGCUGAAGCGCGACCACACGGUCAAGGAUCUGACACAGAAGCUAAGCAAUCUGCCCACAAGUCCCACACAGGAGCCAGGCAAUCGCUCUGCCAUUGUCGGCGAUAUGUCCGGCCUUAUAUCGAAAGCCAAAGAGGGACUGGCCAAGAGCAAAAGCAAGGGGGAAAUAUCAAGAUCAUCGAGUGUGGAUCAGGAGCUGAAGAAGUCCGAGCCGAAGAAAUCAGAGAACGAGCUGCACUGGGAGGAACUGGUGCGGAAUAUGACGCGACCCUUGAACCUCUGCGACCUGGACUUUACCGAUCUUCACGAUGACGAUGAGAAGGAUGUGCUGGCGCCACGUGGCCUGGGAGUCGGAAUACCGCCACCACCGCCGCCGUUCGCAGGCGGUGGAGGCAUACUGCCACCACCCAUGAUGCCACCAGCACCCAGCUUGAUCCCUCCCCCCAUGUUUGGGUAUGGUGGGAGCCUCACCAACAGUGUGAAUAGCUCCCUGAAUGGAUCCGUGAAUGGGGAUCUGGCUAAUGGGAAUAACACGAUCAAGAAGAACAAGAAGACGGUCAAGCUCUUCUGGAAGGAAGUGCGCGAAGACUUGAUACCCCAGGUGGUGGGUAAGACAAUUUGGGAUGAGUUGCCCAAUGCCAAUGUGGACACACAGAAGCUCGAGCAUCUCUUUGAGUCCAGAGCCAAAGACUUGAUGACCAAGAAACAACAAGAGCUAAACAAGAGCAAAGAGAUCAUUGUGCUCGAUCACAAACGUUCCAAUGCCAUCAAUAUAGCAAUCACCAAGCUGCCGCCACCGCGUGCCAUUAAGGCGGCCAUCCUGAAGAUGGAUGCCACCGUGGUGACUCGGGAGGGCAUUGACAAGCUGCUGAAUAUGCUGCCCACCGAUGAGGAGCGUGGCAAGAUCCAAGAGGCACAGCUGGUUAAUCCGGAGCUACCUUUGGGCAGUGCCGAGCAGUUCCUCUUGACGCUGGCCUCCAUCUCCGAGCUGGGCUCACGUCUGAAGCUGUGGGCCUUCCGCCUGGACUUUGACAACAGCGAGAAAGAAAUUGCCGAACCACUGAUGGAUCUCAAGCAAGGCAUUGAGAUCUUGCGUCAGAAUCGCACCUUCCGCAGCAUUCUCUCUACCCUGCUGUCCGUGGGCAUUUUCCUGAAUGGGGCACCCGUCAAGGGCUUCCAGAUUGAGUACCUGGCCAAGGUGCCAGAAGUGAAGGACACCGUCCACAAGCAUUCGCUGCUGCACCAUCUCUGUCACAUGGUCAUGGAGUCGAGCAGCGACACGAGUGAUCUGUACUCGGAAAUCGGUCCCAUUACGCGUGCCUCCAAGGCUGACUUUACCGACCUGGCCCACAACCUCACGCAACUGGAGGCCGAGUGCAAGGCCUCCUGGGAUCGCUUGAAAGUGAUAGCCAAACACGACUGCCCGCCACCGCUGAAGCAGAAGCUCGUGGACUUUCUGGCCGAUUGUGCGGAGCGCAUAAUCAUCCUGCAGAUCGUCCAUCGGCGCGUGAUGAAUCGAUACCGCAAGUUCCUUCUGUGGCUGGGCAUGCCCCAGCACAGUGUGGCCGAGUCCAGGCCCAAUGAGUUCUGCCGCACCCUGUCCGAGUUCGCUUUGGAGUACCGCACGACCAGGGAGCGAGUGCAGCAGCAGCUGGAGAAGAAGGCCAAUCACCGCGAGCGCAAUAAAACGCGUGGCAAGCUGAUCAUCGAUAUGGCCAAGUUCAAGACCAAAGAGGAUGUGGCCGAUGCAGAGUUGAAAACCCUUCUGGGCACACCCAGUGCAGAUCAGGCGGAUGGCACUCUCACCUGGCGACGUCGGCGCGCGGAGCAACUCCGCUCGCCCAUUGCCCGCCAGAGCGAGGAGCAGUUCACCGAUGGCGAUGAUGAGAUACUCGAAUCUCUGGUUAAGACCGCCACCAAGGCGCCGGGCACUCGGACCACACCCAGGGAGCGCAAGAGGACGCGCAAUGCGGAUCGCAAAUCAUUGAAGCGCAGCCGCACGCGCGAAGGAUUCACAGUUGAAAGAGCACCAUCGCCAUAGAAACCGUAACCGUUACCGUUAGCGUUUAACCGUAGCCGUAAACCGUAAACCGUAACCGUAACCGUUACCGAAAGAAACAGCCAACUGUUUUUUUAGGUCUUACCUUUUUGUGCGUCGCACGCUUAAGAACGGUCUGACCGAUGAGGAGAAACAACAUGUGGCUGCCUUGAUACAAACCUAUUAGGAUCUAGAUCUGGAGAGAUGUAUAUUUCCAUAGAGAACCCAGUCCAACACCCCCCACCCCCCCAGUGAUGUCACGAGUCGGGCUAUGCGCGCAACAGACUGAUAUUGGCGAUCUCGGACGAGCAGAGCAGCGAAAGCAAGCGAAACCCCCAGAAAAAACCCCUUUUAUACGACACACCACAUUAUCAGCAUCACAAAAUAACGAAAAUGUCCUUAAAAGAAUGCGUUUUUUCAUAGUGUUUUAUCCUGUUAUUAAUAUAUAAUUAUUUUUUUUUUGCUU
This is an RNA transcript of Drosophila pseudoobscura, 8119 nucleotides long. It is a transcript of the gene named Formin homology 2 domain containing, with no coding region annotated. The record is from RefSeq and is a predicted model, not a curated record. The transcript has 20 exons. NCBI's taxonomy places the organism in Eukaryota, Metazoa, Arthropoda, Insecta, Diptera, Drosophilidae.